GUGACCCGGUCAACGGCUGGGCCAGGGCAGGACGGAGCGGCCCGGCUCCGAGGCCCGGGGUCGGGAAGCCCCUCGCCGGCUCCGAAGGAGCGCGGCCCGGCCCGGCUGCCCCUCCCCGCCGUGCGAGAGAGCGGCCGGAGCGCUGCGGCCGCCCUCGGCCGGCCUCCUCCCGCCAGCCGAGUCCCCUCCUCCUCCCCGCCGCCUUCCCGGCGGUGGCGGGCGGCCGAGCCGCUCGGGUAACUCGCCGGUUCUGCCCAUGGGGGAGUGCGGGGUACCCCCCCAGGUCCAGCUCUUCCUCCGCGCCUGCGAGCAGGGCGACUGCGAAACCGCCCGGCGCCUUUUGGGGCUGCCCGGCGGCGGCACCGCGGCCGACCCGGCGGUUCCCUCCUCCUGCGGUACCGAGGAGGCGGCGGCGGAUCCCCGCGGCGAAGCGUCCUCCCCGCCGGCUACCGCCGCCGCCGCCGUAGCCGUGGAUUGCACCGACGAGGCCGGCAACACGGGGCUGCAGUUCGCCGCGGCGGGGGGACACGAGCAGCUGGUGCGGUUCCUGCUGCGGAAGGGAGCUUCGGUACAGAGCACGAACCACUACGGAUGGAGCCCCCUCAUGCAGGCGGCCAGGUUCGGACAUCUAAGUGUGGCUCACAUCUUGCUGGAGAAUGGUGCUGAUCUCAAUGCACAGAAUAAAUUAGGAGCCAGUGUCCUCACAAUGGCCUCCAGAGGCGGCCACGUCAGCAUGGUGAAAUUGUUGCUGGAAUCAGGAGCUUUUGUAGACAAUUAUGACCAUUUUAGCACAAGUGUGCUCAACAGCAGCAGAGACGACCUUCCUGAUAUCACUCCACUAAUGGCAGCUGCUCAGCAUGGACAUGAGGCAGUGGUACAUCUGUUAUUAGACUGGGGAGCUGAUUGUAAUUACACUGUGAAGACUAUGGGCUGGAGUCCUUUAAUGCUGGCAGCUGUUAGUGGAAAGGUGAGCUUGGCACAGCAGCUCAUGGAGAAGGGUGCCAAUCCCGAUCACCUGAAUGUGCUACAUAAAACACCUUUUGAAAUCUCUGUUGGCUUCAAACACAAAGACAUGAAGGACUACCUGGAAUCUCUCACAACGAUCAGACCCCAGGCAGAUACAGAAAAGAGGCAACCUGAUGUCUUUCAUGCUUUGAAAUUGGGAGACUUUCAGCUGGUUAAAGAGAUCGUUGAUGAAGACCCAAGCCAGGUCAAUAUUACCAACGUUGAUGGUGCAUCUCCGUUAAUGAUUGCAGCUGUAACUGGACAGCUGCCACUUGUUCAGCUCCUUGUUGAGAAAAAUGCCGAUAUCGACAAACAGGAUAAUGUUCAUGGCUGGACAGCACUAAUGCAGGCCACAUACCACGGAAACAAAGAUGUUGUAAAGUAUUUGUUAAAUCAAGGAGCUGACGUCAAUCUUCGUGCAAAAAAUGGAUAUACAGCUUUUGACCUGAUAAUGCUGUUGAACGAUCCAGACACAGAGCUUGUACGGUUACUGGCAUCGGCAUGCAUGCAAGUAGACAAAGACAAGAAUAAACUGAACAACAGAUCAUCUUUGCCCUGUUCCAGAAGUAGGCAAUCCUUAAAUGUCCCAAUGUUGCCAGAUGACAAAGGAGGUCUAAAGUCCUGGUGGAGCAGAAUGUCCAAUCGAUUCCGCAAGCUGAAGCUGACUCAGACAUUGCGCCAUGGAUUUCCUUCCAAUCAGUUUGUGCCUUUUCCCGAUGAGCCUGAAUCAUCAUUAAGUUCCACCAUAAAAGCAGUUUCACAGAGUGAUACAGACACCCCUGGAAACCUUGAUGCUGCUACAGCUUGGAUCACAAAUAACAAAGCUAGUGGUGUAAACAUGGCAAAAGGAGGAAAGGAUGAUGAAUUAUUGACAACCAUGUUGAGAAGUAGUGCUCCAUUUACCAGGCUGCCCAGCGAUAAACUGAAAGCAGUGAUACCGCCUUUCUUACCACCCUCAAGUUUUGAGCUUUGGAAUUCUGACCGAACACGACUCGGCAAAGAUGGCAAAGCUGAACAGAUGAGAACUGCCUGGCCACAGAGAGCGAUCAAGCACGAUUUUAACAGCAGUGGGAACUCUGAUAUAACAUCUGUUAGCAAAGGUACUAGACCAGUCAAAUUACCAACAUUUGCAAGAAGACCUGCAUCUCCUUCAAAUUCCAACAGCUUCAACCAUUCCCCCCAUUCUUCUGGUGGGUCUAAUAACAUUGCGGGAAUUAACAGGCAUGGAGGAGAACUGCAUAAUAGAUCAGGUGGCAGUGCAGAUAAUGUUUUGUCUCAGAUAGCAGCCCAAAGAAGAAAAGCAGCAGGCUUACCUGAACAGAAGCCCAGCCAACAGCAUAGUCCAGUCCAGUCAACUCCUUCAUCCACACUGUCUGAUUUGCAAUGUGCUCAAAUUGUUGGCAAUGGACAUGUUGUAAAGCAAAAACUGGAGAUGAACAAAAGACCUCCAUCUGGGACUUCAUCUACAUCUAAAAGCACAUCACCAACGCUCACACCUUCCCCAUCACCCUCCCCGUCUCCUAAGGUUCACAAUGCAGAGUCCUCUCUCUCUUCUUCUCACAGACAGGCCAAGAGCAAUGGUUCCAGCAGUGGUACUAUUACAGAAGAUGGCAACCACGUGGUGGACCAUCAACAGCUUGUCCCUAUUCUGAGAACCAGUGACGUAGAGAAUCAUGAAAGACGAAACCAUGUGAGAGUAAAAGGAGGCUCUGAAAACUUGGAGAAAGAUGAGCUGACUGGCAUCCUUAAAAAAUUGUCACUUGAGAAAUAUCAGCCUAUUUUUGAGGAACAAGAGGUGGAUAUGGAAGCCUUCCUUACACUUACUGAUGGUGAUCUGAAAGAGCUGGGUAUUAAAACCGAUGGAUCAAGGCAGCAAAUUUUGGCAGCUAUUUCUGAACUGAAUGCAGGAAAGGGACGAGAGAGACAGAUUUUACAAGAAACUAUACACAACUUCCACUCUUCGUUUGAGAGUAGUGUUAGCAACACACGGCCUCCAGGUCAUUCCCAGUGUUAAGAUACCUUGGACUCCCACAUAAAGAAGGCUUCUGAAAUGGGAACCUUCCCAAGCUUUUCCAUGCACCUGGCUGCUCUAUAAAACCACAAGAAGCUGUUUCUCCUAAAAGGUAGCUACUGGAAAAAAAGAUUGGGUUUUUUUCUUAUGGUGAAGUUUGGCAUCUGGCUGAGUGAAUCCAAGUAUACAAAUGAAAAUUUGAAAAGUUAGUCCUAACUACACCUGUAUAGGACUUUCUCCAAUAAUGUGCUAAAAAUUUGAAUCCCACAAAGAAUCAAGAAAAUAAUAAAGAGAUUGCUUUUAUAGUUCAGCCUAAGUGUUGAAUUGUUCAAGGCAUCAGUGGUCUGGAUUUGAGAAGAACAAAGUCAGAAGAUCUGGAAGAAUGAGUGACCAUAUAAGAAGAAUCAUAUUUUCAUUCUACUCUUGCCCAUGGAUGAAGAACCCAUAGGAGGCUUACAUGAGCACAGUCAAGAACACAAAAGCAUGGAAGAAGGCAUGAAAAACACCAUGAAUUAUGAGAGCUUCUACAUGGAGAAGUAUGUAACCUGACUAUGCCUCUCGACUGGAUACAGAUAAAAAGAGUCCAAAUUGAAAAUGUAAUGGUUUCAUGAGAAGGAAUAUAAAGGAAAAGUAAUGCUGCAUUCUUCAUUAACCAAAAUACACUUUAUCUAUUCAAUAUUAAGAGGUUAGAACAGCAGUAAAAGUAAAUAUGAAAUACUUAUUUGUAAAAAAAGCACUUUAUUUAAGGAAAUGCAUAAUCUGUCACCAAUAUUUAAACAGAAAUAGUGUUAAAAUAUUUUAUAUUGCCGAUUGGUUGUUUUGAGAAUAAAACCAUUUAACUGA
Aquila chrysaetos chrysaetos is the source of this 3859-nucleotide RNA transcript. It is a transcript of the gene named ankyrin repeat and sterile alpha motif domain containing 6, with no coding region annotated. The record is from RefSeq and is a predicted model, not a curated record. The transcript is spliced from 18 exons. Lineage: Eukaryota; Metazoa; Chordata; Aves; Accipitriformes; Accipitridae.